UACGUAGGUGGCAAGCGUUGUCCGGAUUUAUUGGGCGUAAAGCGCGCGCAGGCGGUUCGAAAAGUCCAUGGUGAAAGCGCCUGGCUCAACUGGGCGAGUGCCGUGGGGACUGUCGAGAUGGAGGGAAGCAGAGGCGAGUGGAAUUCCGGGUGUAGUGGUGAAAUGCGUAGAGAUCCGGAGGAACACCAGUGGCGGAGGCGGCUCGCUGGGCUUUACCUGACGCUGAGGCGCGAAAGCGUGGGGAGCGAACCGG
This 253-nucleotide ribosomal RNA is filed under the name uncultured bacterium. RNAcentral describes it as "partial 16S ribosomal RNA". It matches the Rfam family "Bacterial small subunit ribosomal RNA", at positions 524 to 776 of the family's 1533-position model. The record is from RNAcentral.